CAGGCCUAACACAUGCAAGUCGAACGAGACCUUCGGGUCUAGUGGCGCACGGGUGCGUAACGCGUGGGAAUCUGCCCUUGGGUUCGGAAUAACAGCGAGAAAUUGCUGCUAAUACCGGAUGAUGACGUAAGUCCAAAGAUUUAUCGCCCAGGGAUGAGCCCGCGUAGGAUUAGCUAGUUGGUGGGGUAAAGGCCUACCAAGGCGACGAUCCUUAGCUGGUCUGAGAGGAUGAUCAGCCACACUGGGACUGAGACACGGCCCAGACUCCUACGGGAGGCAGCAGUGGGGAAUAUUGGACAAUGGGCGCAAGCCUGAUCCAGCCAUGCCGCGUGAGUGAUGAAGGCCUUAGGGUUGUAAAGCUCUUUUGUCCGGGACGAUAAUGACGGUACCGGAAGAAUAAGCCCCGGCUAACUUCGUGCCAGCAGCCGCGGUAAU
Molecule: ribosomal RNA, 435 nt
Filed under: uncultured bacterium
Lineage: Bacteria
Description: bacterial SSU rRNA
Rfam family: Bacterial small subunit ribosomal RNA
Source: RNAcentral